This 307-nucleotide long non-coding RNA is filed under the name Cavia porcellus (domestic guinea pig). RNAcentral describes it as "lncRNA (ENSCPOG00000032850.1)". Lineage: Eukaryota; Metazoa; Chordata; Mammalia; Rodentia; Caviidae. The record is from RNAcentral.
AAUAUUUUAAUAAUAGAAAUUUGUUCUGUGCUAUUUCAGGAAGAAGAAAAAUGGUAUAAAAAUUUUCCAAUUUCUGAACUACAUAAAUGGAUUACAUCACAUACCCAUCCUUGUGCCCACUCAUUUACAGAGCUCUAAAAGAUAUUCAUUACCCUGGAAACUACUUCUUUUUCUAAAUUCUAACUGGCAAAUGAACUUGUGAAAUACACUGAUUCAACAAUGUCAAGAGGGAUGACAUGAGUUGUGCUAAUCAGGUGACUUUUCUGGAUAACUAGACCCAAUCCCUGUAGAAGCUAAUGGGUUAGAA